This is a long non-coding RNA of Pezoporus occidentalis (night parrot), 1917 nucleotides long. RefSeq lists it as uncharacterized. The transcript is spliced from 3 exons. NCBI's taxonomy places the organism in Eukaryota, Metazoa, Chordata, Aves, Psittaciformes, Psittacidae. The record is from RefSeq and is a predicted model, not a curated record.
CUAUAUUUUCUCUAGCUCUGCUGCAAACUUAUGCACCAGAACCAUCUGCACUGAUGAAUUUAACCUACACCUGCUAUCAUCUAUCUCAUUAUAUGUUAAAUGUUUUCAAGCAAUUCAAGAAUCACAGAAUUAUGAUUCUUUUUAAAAACAGUUUAUCUUCUCUUUUUCCAAAAUAAUAGAUGCCUCUGAUUAAAGUUUAAUACAGGAAGGAGAAAUAAAAAUCAGUCUUGCAAACAUGUAAGAAACUGCAAAAAUAUAUAUUGGUCAGUAAUAUCCGCUUUUGGAUUAAAGCUACUCGAGGACUUCCCUCAAAGCCUUGCUCACAACUGAAUAGAUAUGUGUGACCCUAGGCAUUGCUGGAGUUCAUUACUGCCCUUCAGGUGAAAUUAGCACAAGGAUGCACCUGAACUUGGUAUUUUUCUGCCAGCAGAAAGCACUAAUUCAACUACUUGUCUAUGGAGAGAGAAAAGCCUAUGUUACCACCUACAUGCAAUGAAACCUAAGAAUUUUUGCUACUUGGCCAUUGCCCAGCCAUCAGUAUCAUCUUCAUGUCGAUCAUUUUCACCUGCGAGUCCAUUUUUUACAAGAAGAAAUUGCUUUUCUGACUAUGACUGAAACUCCCCCCUACACAUUUUAAUGUUUAUAUGUUGUUCUGGUACUCGUGAUUUAAAAACAAUGGAAAAUGCAAAGUAUAGGAAGAGUUGAUUUGUUGUACAUUCAGAAUUUAGCUAAAAAGAAAGAAGGGAACUAUGAUUUUGAUGCAGUGAGAUAUGUAAGCAUGUGUAUAACAAUAAACACUUGACUAUUCCCGUUGAUACUUUUAAAUUGUAGUUGUGUUCCUUGCCCCACUCCUUUCAGGAGUUUUGAGCAUAUUUCCAAGUCUCCUUCUUUUAUGAGAUUUCUUACAGUGCUAUAUGAAUGUCACUUGGAGAAGGAGUAAAGAUAUUUCAAGAGCUGCUUGUAUUUUUCUACUGUAACAUUAAGCAUAUAUGAUGCUCAUAAAUACACAAUCAACUAUCAAGUGCAUAGACUCUGGAAAUGUCAACUGCUUAUACUGAUCACUUUAGAAAGAGCUGGAAUUUUGGCACUGGUAUUAAUCACUACAACAAUUCUGUUGAGAGGAAGUAUUUACCCAUAUUACACUAGCUAAAGAGCACAGGGAAAUCCAGUAGUGCUGUGCAAGGUGAUAGAGAUAAGGACAAAUUCUCUGGGUAUUGUUCCUUUUGAAACAGACUCCUUGACUGGUCUCUCACUGGGGUUAUUAGUAAUAUUGGUAUUACAUUCUGAAAAUACGAUUGGACCUUUAGCGUCUGUAGUAUAUGUUUUCAGGUUCUCACCUAGUGCUCCUAGUGCUAGUUAUGUCAUUACCAGAAUUUCUCCUAGUUUUAAAUAUCCCACGUUAUUGUUUGGCAUAAUGCAAGCACAGCUACAAAUAGAGGGUGUUUUUUUGUGGGUGUUUUUCUUUUUUUUCUUCAGAAAGUGUUGUCAACAUCUAUUUAAAUAAUAAAUGUUUCAGCAAGGCCAACAGGGUUUUCUGUCAUCCUUUUUGACAUGUGGUACAGCUUUGCUGUAAGCAACAUUAUUACAUGGAAGAAUAUAUUAUAGUCUUUUAUUCAUCCUCCUUUUUCAUUGUGAUGCUGACAAAUACAUAUCAGCUUUGGAAACAUCUUUGGCUUUAAUUUCGUAAGCUUUUUCUCAAAAGAAAACUAAGAAGUUAAAAAUUCUUAGAAAACAUCAAUAGAGAAAAAGCUUUAGGCUUUUACAAAAGAAAAAUCUUGCGUCAACAUUUUUAUUAAAUCACAUAAAAUCAUGUAACUUGAUAUUAUAUCAUAAAAGAAGGGUUUAAGAUACUUCGUUUUUUUACUAUCAUUUUAAUUGAAAGGUUUAAAGUACUUCAUUUUUUUCACUAUCAUUUUA